Oryctolagus cuniculus (rabbit) is the source of this 37899-nucleotide non-coding RNA. Lineage: Eukaryota; Metazoa; Chordata; Mammalia; Lagomorpha; Leporidae. The record is from RefSeq and is a predicted model, not a curated record.
AAGGUCUUCCAUCCACUGGUUCACUCCUCAAAUGUCCUCAAUGGCCAGAGCUGAGCCAAUACGAAGCCAGAAGCCAAGAGCCUCCUCCGGGUCUCCCAUGUAGGUGCAGGGGCCCAAGCACCUGGGCCAUCCUCUACUGCCUUCCCAGGCCACAAGCAGAGAGCUGGAUUAAAGAGGAGAAGCUGGGACUCAAACCUGCACCCACAUGGGAUGCCAGUGACGCAGGCAGAGGCUUAGCCUACCACACCAUGAUAGCAUCGGCCCCCAAAACUUUCUUCUAAGAUCCAAAUUCAUAUAUACAGUUUUGUUCCAUGUGGACCUUCAGCGACUUGGGUUUAUUUCACUUUGUGUCUUCUCUUUCCCCCAAAAGAAUUAUUCUAAACCUUAAACAUACAUUAGAAUCUCUUGGGUCUUCUGAAAACAUUGCUAGUUGCUGGGCCCUAUCUUUGAGCUCCUGAAUCAAUUGGUUUGGAUUAGAGGCUUAAGAAUCUGCACUUAUAACAUGUUUCUGGAUGAUGUUGCUGCUGAUGAUCUGACACUCUGAGACAAAUUUCCUAGAUUGUUUUCUUCAAAUGAAAGUCCAAAGCUGAAUCUCUGCCCCAAAGGGAGUAAACCCAGUGUGGAUCUCCAAACUAUGAGUGGAAAUAAACCUCCUUUUUUCAUAAGUAGCGUGUCUUAGGUUUUUAGUUAUAGUAACAAAAAGCUAACUCAGACAUAAAGCUAAGUUAAAAUAAGAGGAUACUUCUAAAAAGGAAGUAUAGAAAAUGAACAUUUUAAUUUACUUUUUACGUGAACACUUCAAAGCCAUCAUCAACAUAUUCAAUGAGUUAAACUCAACUCAAAACUAAGUAUUAUAACUGUUAUUUAAAUACCAAUUUAUAUUUGCAUCUGAAAAUAUGGUUCAAGAGGAACAAGUAGGGGUCUCUUCUACUUAACCCAUUGGCAAUUUUAGAUCCUUAAAGCAAUUCUCUAAACAAAGCUCUUAGACAACUCCCCUCCCUUGAAGGAGGGUGAAAUUGCUUGCCCUUCCCUCCCAGGCCAUUGCCACACAGUCUUACUUGGUGUAGGACAUGAGGAGCCAUUUGUCUCAUUGUAUUGCAAUGGGAGGAGGCUUAUGAUGUGGUCACCAUGUCUUGGUGGGCUUUUUCCUGUACUUCCUUCCCAUAGUCCUUCUGCUUGUAUAUUCUAACCCUUAAAAACUCUGCUCUUUCCUUGCUUUUCACCCCUGGCUUAAGGCAUAUGUUUUUUCUUUCUUUCUGUAAUCAAUAUAGAAGUUUAUCUCUAGUUCAAGGCAUUGGUUUGGAGUUGAUAUCACUUACUUUCAUAUCCUCCUGAGGCUCAAGUUGGUGGCCUCCAAGCAUUCCACUUAAUUCUUUCAAUAAACUUCCAUUAAACAUUGAGUAAGGGGCCGGCGCUGUGGCGUAGUGGGUUAAGCCGCCGCCUGGAAUGCCGGCACCCCAUAUGGGUGAUGGUUCGAGACCCGGCUGCUCCACUUCCGAUAUGGCUCUCUGCUAUGGCCUGGGAAAGCAGUAGAUGGCUCGAGUCCUUGGGCCCCUGCACCUGCAUGGGAGACCUGGAAGAAGCUCCUGGCUCCUGGCUUCAGAUUGGUGCAGCUCCGGCUGUUGCAGCCAGUUGGGGAGUGAACCAGCAGAUGGAAGACCUCUCUUUCUCUCUCUGCUUCUCCUUCUCACUGUGUGUGUAACUCUGACUUUCAAAUAAAUGAAUAAAUCUUUUUUAAAAAAUUGAGUAAGUGACAGGCACUAUGCCAGAAGCUAAAAUGUCUGUGAAAAUGGUGCUUGUCAAACUGUAACAUGGAUAGCAAAGAUUUGUACAUUUUGUUUAAAAUACAGAUGUGAAUGUGGAAGUUCUAGGACAGGGCUUAAGGGUCUCUAUUUCUUUUUAAAAUUAUUUUAAUUUAUAAAUUUCCAAUACACAUGCACCACUUUUACAUGUUUAUGGGACACAGUACAAUAUUUCAACACACAUACACAGUGUAAAUAAAUCAAACAAGGCAACUGGGCUUCCAUUUCCUUAUUUUUUCUUUCUGUUUCAAGUCUACUAACUCCUCUCUUCCAAUUAUUUAUUUAGAUAUUAUAUUGUGAACUCUAGUUACCCCCCUGUGCUAUGGAACACUAGAACUGGUUACUUCUAUCUGACUGUAAUUUGGCACCAAGUAUCCAACUUCCCACUAUGUCACCUCCCUCAACCUUGCCCAACCUUUAGUAAUCAUUAUUCUUAGUUAGAUCAAGUACUUUUUAAAGCUUCCUUAUAAGAGGGAACAUGUGAUAACUGUCUUUCUGUAUUUGGCUUAUUUCACUGAAUAUAUUGACCUCCAUUUCUAACUGUUUUUUUUUUUUUUUGAGAACAUCAGGGUUUCCUUCUCUUUCAUGGCUGAAUAAUAUUCCACUAUGUGUAGAUACCAUAUUUUCUUUAACCAUUCAUCAGUCAGUAGAUAUCCAAGUUUGCUCCAGAUCUUGGCUUUUGUAGAUAAUGUUGCAGCAAAUACAGGAAUGCAAGUUAUCUCUUUCAUAUGCUCAUUUCAUUUCCUUCAGCUAUACAACUAGAAGUGGGAUAUCUGGGUCAUAGGACAGAUCUAUUUUUAUUUUUUUGUAGAACCUCCAUGUUUUGCAUACCAACUGUGUCUAACGAUUGCCUUUUUUCCACACACACUCACUGAUGUAUUUUAUUUUUUGUCUUUUUUUGUAGUAGCCAUUCUAACUGGAAUGUAAUGAUAUCUUUGUGAUUUUGAUUUUUAUAUCUUUAAUGACUAGUGAUGUUGAGUGUUUUUCAUGUAUUCAUUGAUCAUUGUAUUUUUUCUGAGAAAUUUGUAUGCAGAUCCUUUACCCAUUUCUUAACUGAAUUGUGGGUGUUUUUUUUAGUUCCUUAUAUAUUCUGGAUAUUAAUCCUUUAACAGAUACAUUGUUUGAAAAUAUUUUUCUCCCAUUCUGUUGGUUGCCUUUUCACUCUAUUGAUUUGUUUCAAUCGAACCUUCCUAAUUGAAUAUAACCUCAUUUGUCUAUUUUUACUUUUGUUACCUAUGCUUUUGGGGUUUUUUUAUUUAAAAAAGUCAUAGUCUAUGGCAAUGUCUUACAGCAUUUGCCUCACACCCUCUUCAUAGUUUCACAUCUUACAUUUGGAUCUUUGAUCCGUUUUUGAGUUGAUUUUUGCACAGAGAGAUGGUAGAGGGGUCUUGUUUAAGUGUUCUGCAUAUGGAUAACCAGUUUUCCCACAUUUAUGGGAGAGACACUAUCCUCUUUCCAUUAUGUUGUUACUAUUUUUCCAAAGAUCACUUUGCUAUAGACAUGUAGAUUAAUUCCUGGGAUCUCUAAUCUGUUCUAUUGAUCUGUGUAUCUGUUUGUUUGGAGAAUAAUAGCUCUGCAGUAUGUCUUAAAAUUUGGUAGCAUGUUGCCUCCAGUUUUGUUCUUUCUGUUCAAGAUUGCUUUGACUAUUUGGUAUUGGCUGUGCUUCUACGGGAAUUUUAGGAUUUCCUUUUCUAGUUCUGUGAAGAAUGUCUGUUUUUUCAUUGGAAUUUCAUUGAAUCCACAAAUUGCUCUGGGUAUUAUGGACAUUUUAACAAUAUUAAUUCCUUCAGUCCAUGAACCUGGAAAGUCAUCUCACUUUUUAGUGUCUUAUUCAAAUUCUUUUAUCAGUGUUUCAUAAUUUUCACAUUCUUCAUUAACUUUAUUCUAUUAUUUUAUAUUUUGUAGUUAUCAUGAAGGAGAUUUUUUUUGACAGGCAGAGUGGACAGUGAGAGAGAGAGACAGAGAGAAAGGUCUUCCUUUUCCGUUGGUUCACCCCCCAAUGGCCGCCGCGGCUGGCACACCGCGCUGAUCCAAAGCCAGGAGCCAGGUGCUUCUCCUGGUCUCCCAUGCGGGUGCAAGGCCCAAGCACUUGGGCCAUCCUCCACUGCCUUCCCAGGCCACAGCAGAGAGCUGGACUGGAAGAGGAGCAACUGGGACAGAAUCCAGCACCCCGACCAGGACAAGAACCCGAUGUGCCGGCAGCGCAGGCAGAGGAUUAGCCUAGUGAGCCGCGGCGCUGGCCCAGAGAUUUCUCUUAUAAUGUAUUUCUUUGAGUCUGUUACUUACAUACAAAAAUACUACUGAUUUUUGUGUGUCGACUUUGUAUACUAUGACUCAAUUUGUUAUCAGUUCUAGUAGUUACUUGGUGGAGUCUUGAGUUUUUCUCUAUAUAAAAUUAUGCAAUCUGUACAUGGAUAAUUUGACUUCUCCUUUCCUAUUUGUAUGCCUUGUAUUCUUUCUCUUGCCUAAUGGCUCAAGCCAAAACCCCCAGUACUGUAUUCAAUAAGAGUGGUGAGAGUUGGCAUUGCUGUCUAGUUCCAGAUCUGAGAGAAAAUGCUUUCAGCUCUUCACCAUUAAUAUGUUAUUGGCAAUGGGGUUGUCGUAUAUGGCCCUUAUUAUGUUGAGAUAAGUUCCUUCAAUACCUAAUUUGUUCAAGAGGUUUUUUUUUUUAACAUGAAUUUUAUCAAAUGCUUUUUAUGCAUCUAUUGAGAAGAUCAUAUGAUUUUUAUUCUUCAUCCUGUUGACAUAAUGCAUUUUGUUUAUUGAUGUGCAUAUGUUGAAACAUCCCUGCAACCCUAGGAUAAAUCCCAAUUGAUAAAGAUGAAACAUUUUUCAUGUGUUGUUAGAUUUAAUUUACUAGUAUUUUGUUGAGAAUUUUGGUGCUGAUGUUCAAUAGGUAUGUUGCUCUAUAGUUUUCAUUUUUUGUUGUCCAGUUUUGAAAUCCAGGUAAUGCUAUUCAAACAGAAUGAGUUUGGAAAGAUUUUUUUCUUUUUGGAUUUCUGGAAUAGUUUGAGAACUAUUGUCAAUUCUUUCAAAGUUUGGCAAAAUUCAGUAGUGAAGUCAUUUAAUCCUUGGAUUUUCUAUAUUGUGAGACUUUUGAUCAUGAUUCAGUCUCAUAAUUUGUUACUGGUCUGUUCCAGUUUUGUCUGUCUUCUUGAUUCAAUUUUGGUAAACUAUGUGUAUCCAGAAAUUUACCCAGUUUUUCCAGGCUUUCCAAUUUUUUGGCAUGUACUUGUUCAUAAUUAGUCCCUCAUGAUCCUUGUGUUUCUGUAGUGUCGGUUAUAAUAUCUCUUCUUUCAUCUCUGAUUUUAUUUAUGUGAAUUUCCUCUUUUUUUUCUUGUUAGUUUAGCUAAAUUCUUUAUUUCCAAGAUCAUUGUUCGGUUCUUUUUCAAGAUCUCUAUUUUUUGCUGAUUUUUUAAAAGAUUUUGUAUUUAUUUAUUUGAGAGGCAGGAUUACAGACAGAGAGAGGAAGAGACAGAGAUAAAGGUUUCCAUCUGCUGGUUCACUCCCCAAAUGACCACAAUCACCCGAGCUGGGCCAACCUGAAUCCAGGAACCAGGAGCUUCUUCCGGGUCUCCCAUGUGGGUGCGGGGGCCCAAGCACUUGGGCCAUCUUCCACUGCUUUCCCAGGCAAUAAGAGCUGGAUCAGAAGAGGAGUAGCCAGGACACAAACCAGUGCUCAUAUGGGAUGCCAGUGCUACAGGGGAGGCUUAGCCUAGCCACAGCACCAGCCACCUGCUGAUUUUAAAAUUCAUAUCCUGUAUUGUUUUCCUUUGUUCAGCUGUCUUUAUUCUCUCAUUUCCCUCUGAGUACUCUUAUAAUCACUCUUUUGAAUUAUUUGUCAGGCAUUUCAUCAGUUUCCUUUCCCCUGGAUUCUGUUGCUGUUGCACUAUUUAUUGUGUUCUUUUGGGUGCAUCCUAUUGCCUUACUUUUUCAUAUGUCCUGUGUCCCUACAUUGGUAAUUGUGCAUUUGGGGGAUUAGCUGUUUCUAUCCUUUUAAUAUGUGGUUUUAAUGGUAAAAGGCUUUUUCCUGAAGAUACGUCUUUAAGUGUCAGUUUGGUAGGCUGUUUUGGCUUUAUUUGGAUGCUGCAGUAUAUAGUCUCCUCAUAUUUUCUUUCUUUUUUUAAAUAUUUAUUUAUUUAUUUAUUUGAAAGUCAGAGUUACACAGAGAGAGAAAGGAAAGGCAGAUGGAGAGGGAGAGAGAGGUCUUCCAUCCACGGAUUCACUCCCCAGUUGGCUGCAAUGGCCAGAGCUGCACCGAUCCGAAGCCAGGGGCCAAGAGCUUCUUACAGGUCUCCCAUGCAGGUGCAGGGGCCCAAUGAUUUGAGCCAUCUACUGCUUUCCCAGGCCAUAGCAGAGAGCUGGAUCAGAAGUAGGACAGCUGGAACAUGAACCGGCGCCCAUAUGGGAUGCCGGCAUUGCAGGCAGCGGCUUUACCUGCUAAGCCACAAUGCUGGCCCCUCCUCAUAUUUUCUUUCAAUUGCAAUUGCUGUCAGUGGCAGUGGGGCAUGAGUGUUCCUCUCAAACCCAUCUGGGGAUUAUGGAUCUGAACAGCAGCCCAUGAGGCAAAUUGCAGGAUUACAAGGGUGAUAGAUCUCAGUCCCCUGUGGCUAGGAUUGCAGAAAUCCCAGCCUAGAAUCCUAGAGGGGACCUUUGUUGGCAGGGUCAUGUUUGGGGUCAUGGUAGCACCACUUUAAAAUCUGACAGGGCAUAGAAGUACUCCUAGUUCUAGCCUCAGGUCUACACAAUGUCUUGGCAUUUCCCUGGCUUUUCUUCCCUCCCUCCUCCCCAGAUAAUUACUCUCUUGGUUUGAUGCUGCCUUGGGUUGAGGGAACAGAUUCACUUUUAUUUGAUGUUUUAGGUUCUAAUCAAGCCUCUCACUUAAGUGUCUUCAGUUCUCCAAACCCAGUGUGGUAUAUGUAGGGUCGAUGCCUACAUAUUAAAGACUGCCUGCUGCUGAGAUGGGCUUGCAGCCUGAGGCAGCUACAACCAACCACAGGUGAUGCUGGUCAAGAUAAAAGUCCAAUUGACUGGCCAGCGCCACAGCUCACUAGGCUAAUCCUCUGCCUACGGCGCUGGCACCCCAGGUCCUAGUACCGGUUGAGGCACUGGAUUCUGUCCCAGUUGCUCCUCUUCCAGUCCAGCUCUCUGCUGUGGCCCAGGAAGGCAGUGGAGGAUGGCCCAAGUGCUUGGGUCUCUGCACUCACAUGGGAGACCAGGAGGAGGCACCUGGCUUCUGGCUUUGGAUUGGCACAGUGCACUGGCCGUAGCAGCCAUUUGGGGGUGAACCAACGGAAAAGGAAGACCUUUGUCUGUCUCUCUCUCUCUCUCACACUCUAACUCUGCCUGAAAAAGAAAAAAAAAAGCCCAAUUGACUGGAACCAUGGGUCUUCACUCAGUAUUCGGCUGGUCCAGUGAUCACUCUAUUUUGUAUACGCUUAGUUGUGAUUUUACCAGAUCCAACAUGCAGUACUGUGCUCACCUUGGUGCUCUGCUCCCCAGUGGGUGGAGUCUUUUUCUUUGCUCUCUGUGAUUUGGGGACAGGUGGUAAGGCAAUCCUUUGUCCAUGGAGGCUGACAUUAAGCUGGGUCAGACCUGAGUUUCAUAGUCACUGGGCCCUGCACAGUCCCAGGAACAGAUUUACAUGAUGCUGGUAGUGAUACAGGCCAAAAGGAGUCUGUCCCAUGAACCACCAAGCUCUACCUGAUGCCAUCACUGAGCUUUCAACACAAAGGUCUAAGGUCAGUGUGCCAACCCACUUUCCAGUGACUGGAGUCCUGCUCUGCUGCCUGUUGAAGGUUAGGGAGGGAUGGUUCUCUGCAUAUGAGUGGGGGCAUGUUGGAGGAGAUUUGGUAUUCAAUAAUCCUGCUUUUGAACCUGCUUAAAUGUCUGUGCAAUGGUAACUGUGUCCCUGAAAGAGUUACUUAAACUCUUAAUUCAGCUCUUUCUUAUUUAGAUGAGAGAUUCACUUUUAUUUGAUGCGUUAGGUUCUGAUCAAGUCCCUCAGUCAAGUGUCUCAAAAUGCAAAUACAAAUUUUGGUUUUAUAAAAUCAGCUGGGUUUAGAAGUAAAUCUGAUCUCAAUAGGGAAUUGUAUCAUAUUGGGUUCCUUUUAUGCUGUCACUAUAAUUGAAUUGCCUUUUCACCAAAAAGAUUAUUUUGAACUCAUGGAAAAUGUCUUAAAAAAAUGACAAUGGAAGCCCAAAGGACAUUCAAUACAAAACCAAAUUAUUAAGGCAUUAAAGGAUCUAAGUUAAAUCCAUGAAGGCAAGAAAAUUCAAAGCAAGGUUUAUGGAAUGAAAUUCCUUCAGUUUCAUGACUCACUGCAUGCACAUGGCUGCUUCCUUAAACAUGUAGGAAGAAGAAGCAAUUAAAUCACCUCAUAGACAUAACCCCGUGGGUCUUUAAAUCAAUGGAGGAACUCAAAAUAUUGGUAAUAGAAACAGGAUCUUAGGGCAUGAGUUGAAUUUUUUUAAAUGAAGCUUUUCAUCAUUACUAUUCUCGCAUCUUUUCUUUGUUCUUGGUAUUUUCCUCAGCACAGUUCUCAAAAGCUAUCUUUUGGCCAUUAAAAUGAUACCACAAAAAAAUGAGAUUCCAUUUCAAGUGCCAUCACCAUCCAGUUCACCUCAUUACUACCUCCUGCUCCCAACCAUCGCUGCUCCCUGGAUUCUGUCUCAUCUUUCUUUUCUUUCUCUCUAUCAGCCCAUCUUUACAAAAAUAAUCUUCCUUUGUUCUUUAUACUUGGCCCCUCAUAAAACCUCAAAUACAGAACCAUAUCUUAUGUUACUGACUUCCCCAUAUCUCUCUGUAGUAUCCUCAUGGCAGUGCAUGGCUGUUUUCCACAUCCAUGUAUGCAGCUAUUCCAAUAUGAUGAGCCAUCAAAGGAGGUGCUCCUGAAUCAGUGGGUGGGGAGUAGCUUUUGUCUAUUUCAUCAGAUCAUUCGGAGGGCCUUGAACUUGCCAGUAAUGUGCUUCACUUUGAGCCCAAAAGCAAAUGCUUCCUUUAUCUUCCUCUAACAAGGUAAAGUAAAUAUUCAGGAAUCAGUUUCACUUGUAACUCUUCCAUAAGUCGCAGUAACCUCUGUCAGCUUCCCAGAUUCUCUUUCUAUGACAACUAGAGGGUGUUACUGCCUUGUGUAGGUGCCGACGAUUUCACAGAACAGCUGUAAGUGUUGAGAAAAACUCUCCUCUCAGUUGAGCUUGGCCACAUUUCUGAUUCAAUCAUGUACACAGCUUUGCAAUUCAGAAUAUCAGGCAAAAUUUUUUCUUUUCUCCUUUCCCUUUGAAAUCAAAAUAUUUUGUUAAUUGGUAAUUCCUCUUGUACAGUUUCAACCCAAGGUGUUAACCUUUCCUUCCCAGCUGUUAUCUAGGAUACAGAAACCUCUAGGAAGGUAGAAAACACAUCUAGAUUGUAUUUAUUUUAAUAUUAAAUCUGCAAGUUAACAGAAAUAUGCUAAUUAACUUUAUUACACACAACUUUCAGUUCUAUAUUCUUUCUCCACUAUGGUUCAAUUUAUUCAAAUGAGUUACUGCAAUGCAGUUCUGCAUCUUUUUCACAAGAUGGCACUACAAGUCUCUAGAUUUAUUAUCAAGCAGGGAAAUUCGAGUACAAUAGAUUCUAAAAUUUAUAGUUUAAAUUACAUAAAUUAUAGUUGAAUAUUAAAGGGAAUAUAAUAGCAGAAAACUAUAUGAUGAUCUAAUUUUCUUUAAGAUAUUUUAACUCCAUUUAAAAAAGUAAUAAGUGAAAAUCAGAAAGAAUUCAAGGAAAUUGUGUUUUUAUUUCUUCCUCGCUUUUAACAUAUAUUAAAUCAGGAAAACCUUUUUCUUCUUUAGAGUAAUAUGAUAUUUCUACCAGUACAGAUAUGCCAGAGUUCUCUUUGCUUCUAAUAUUUUUUUUCUAAUUUUUCUAAUAAUAUAGUAAAUGUUUACUUGGAGGAGAACCAUUUCUUCAUUACAAAUAUAUAAAAAUGUCAAAUUUUUUUUCAUUAAAUUUAUUCUGGGAAGGAAAUGGUAGGACUAUGAAUUCAAAUUGGUUUCUUAAUAUCGUCUUUGAGCAUGACUCUAUGAUCAGUAGAUGUUUUUCACAAGCAGAUACAAAUAAUGGAAACAAUGGGAGAAAGAAAAGAAAAGGUAAAGAAAUUGCCUAAUUAUUUAAAUUCCCCUAAGUUCAAGCCUUGGCAUAUACAUUUCAACUAACUCUAUAGCAUAAAAAUAAUAAACAAUUAUUUAGUUCUCUCUAUAUGCUGGACUUGAUGCUGUAUUCCUUAGAUUCUUUGAGAACUUAAUUCUCAAAGCUCUGUGGAUGGUCAGUGUUAUCAGCCAUAAUUUUUAUAGAAGGAACUAAUACUCAGCAAGAUCAUUCAUCCAAUCUUUUAUCUAUUCAAGAAGUGAUUGAUUAUUGAAUGCCUACUAUGUGACUUGAACAUUUCAGUAUAGAACAACUGGAAUUUAAACCCAAAGUCUGCUGAGACAAAAGCCCAAGACUCUUUCAUUUAACUACUGAAUUAUAAAGAAUCAGUUUCUCAGAUAAGCCUAUCAGACAAUUACAUAGUGAGAGAAAAAUCUUACUGUAAAAGGAGUAAGCAAAUUGACACACCGCCAUAAACCGCAUCAGUAUCUUCCUCUAUGCAUUUUCCAUAAUGUUAAUUUAAAGCUUCUCUUUGCAGGGUUCAUUUGGACAAAAUAUGAUGUAUACUUUGAAUACACAACUAUUUCACAACCAUUUAUUAGACACUUCAGAGUAAAAAUCACUUUUGUGGAAGAGAUGUAAGAGGACUGGAAUAGCUUCCUGUCAUAGUAGGCUAAGCAGAGGGGAAAUUUUCUAUAUACCUUCAACAACAACAAAAACACAGAAAUUUUAGAUGGAACAUUUUCAAUUAUUUUGAUAGUAUGUAGCCAAACUCAACAUGAGAAAAAUCUCCAGGUUACAUAAAUCAAGAAGUUUCAGUGUGAAAAGGAAUUAAAGCUGCCAUUGUUCAUGAAGUACUAGAAUACCAUAAUUGGAGCCCUAAUAUUUUGCAAAGAUAAGACUGAAGGUGCAGAACCUGUGCAAAUCAAGAACUUGAUUCCCUGCCUAAAAUGAGUAAUGAAGAAUUUUCCUGCCACGAGAUCAACAGACCUUAAACAAAGCCCAAACACAACCAUCUGCCUGCAGAUAUAGAAGAAACAGUACACAAAGAAGAGUGAAAUCCAUGCUAUAGUGAAACUAUCAAUAUUCACACUACCCACAUUAUGCAGAAAUCUCAAGUUAAAAAAUAAUAUGAUAGUUGAAAAUCUAAAUAGAGGCUUUGCCAAACCACCCUAAGAGAAGUCUCAGGAAAGAUAAUUCUUAUGGAAGAUGAAGUCACAAGCAGAAAAUAAAUGAGGAAGUUUAUUGGUAAAUAAGAGGUCUAACAAAGUAGAUAUUCCACAACUCUGAUAAUAGAGCAAGGUAAAGGAGAUUGUUUUUUAAAAUUAUCUAUUUAUUUAUUUAUUUUAAAUCCAGAACAGAGAAAGAGGAAGAGACACAGAAAGAGGUCUUCUGUCCUCUGGUUCAUUUUCCAAAUGCCUGCAAUAUCCACGUCUAGGCCAGGACAAAACCAGGAGCCAGGAACUCCAUCCUGGUCUCCCAGAUGGUGGCAAGCACCAGAGUGCUUGAGGUGUCUUCCACUGUCUUCCCAGAAGGAAGCAGUAAGCAGAGAAGCUGGGACUUGAACCAUAACUUCAAUAGGAGAUGCCAGUGUCACAAAUGGCAGGUUAACCCGCUGUGCCAUGACACCUGCCCCUGAAGGGGAUGUUAAUAUAAAUAUGCUUGAAACAAACAAAGAGACAGAAUUUAUUUUAAUGGACAAAACAUUAAAACUAAAAGAAGUUGUACCAUUUAUAAAUUUCAUAAAAGACACAACAAUCACUUAAAAAAAGAACAUCAACAAACUUCUUUUUUAAAAAAAUAUUUAUUUAUUUAUUUGAAAGUCAGAGUUACACAGAGAGAGAAGGAGAGGCAGAGAGAGAGAGAGAGAGAGAGAGAGGUGUCUUCUAUCCACUGGUUCACUCCCCAACUGGCCACAACGGCCCUAGCUAUGCUGAUCCGAAGCCAGGAGCCAGGAGCUUCUUCCCCAUCUCCCACAUGGAUGCAGGGUCCCAAGGACUUGGGCCAUCUUCUACUGCUUUCCCAGACCAUAGCAGAGAGCUGGAUCAGAACUGGAACAGCCCAGAUACCAACUGGUGCCCAUAUGGGAUACCGGCACUGCAGGUGGCGGCUUUAUCCGCUCUGCCACAGCACUGGCCCCCAGCAAACUUCUUAAAUAAUAGCUUGCAUACAGCGGGAAAAUAGUGAAUUGAAGGGGGCAGCACGGUGGCUUAGUAGGUUGAUCCUCUGCCUGUGGUCCUAGCAUCCCAUAUAGGCGCCAGUUCUAGUCCAGGUUGCUCCUCUUCCAGUCCAGCUCUCUGCUGUGGCCCAGGAGGGCAGUGGAGGAUGGCCCAAGUGCUUUGGUCCCUGCACCCACAUGGGAGACCAGGAAGAAGCACCUGGCUCCCGGCUUUGGAUGGACAUAGCGCCAGCCGUAGUGGCCACCUGGGGAGUGAACCAAUGGAGAAGACCUUUCUCUCUGUCUCUCUCUCUCUCACUGUCUAUAAUUCUACCUGUCAAAUAAAAAAAAAAGAAAAUAGUGAAUUGAAAAUAAACCUAUGAAAGUAAACCAGAACACAGCACAGAAAAAUAAUAAUAUAGAAAAUGUGAAAGAAGAGUUAAGGGAAGGAAAGUAUAGAAUGUAGAGUUCUGGAUCUGAAGAGAAAACAGCUAAGAGAUUUCCAGAAGUGAAUAAAGACAUGGGACCUCAAAGUAAAAGGGCGCACAUUACUCUGAGAAAGACAAACAAAAACAAAUUAAUGCUUAGACUUAGAGUGAAAUUGCAGGAUAAAGUAAUCAAACUUGUGAAUCAUGAGAAAAUCUUGGAAGUAACCAGAAAAAAGACAGAUUAACUUCCAAAAUGGACAAUCAACAUGAGCAUUGACUUUUCAUCAACAGAGAAGGGGUGUGUGUGUAUGUGUGUGUGUGUGUGUGUGUUUAAGUGUUCAAAGGCAAUAAGAAUACUAAGCUAAACUGUAGUCUAAAGUGAAAGCAAGCUAAAUACACUUCCAGGUUUAUUUAUAACAUUGAAAAGAAGCACAAGUUGGCCAACCAUGCACACUUUAGUUUUCUUUUGAAUUGAAAAGUUACCCAAAGUGGAGGUGAAAACUGACAAGUUCAAUAAACCUGACUUCUAGUUAAGGGAAUCUAUAACAGGCCUAGUACUGGAAAGUACUUCCUUCUUACUGUCAGCCCUACUUGUUAGUUGCCUUGUUAAGGUACCUCCUGUUAUGUAAAAGCAGACUGAAAAUAAGAACAGCUCUUAUUUCUAUGAGAAAGAGAAUGAUGGAACCAUAGAAUUUUAAACUUCAAAAUGUAAGUAAUGAAAGUUUUUCUUAAGCCAGCGCCAUGGCUCACUAGGCUAAUCCUUCGCCUGCGGCGCUGGCACCCCAGGUUCUAGUCCUGGUUGGGGCGCCGGAUUCUGUCCCGGUUGCUCCUCUUCCAGUCCAGCUCUCUGCUGUCGCCCGGGAAGGCAGUGGAGGAUGGCCCAAGUGCUUGGGCCCUGCACCCGCAUGGGAGACCAGGAGGAGGUACCUGGCUCCUGGCUUCGGAUCCAUGCAGCAUGCCAGCUGUAGCGGUCAUUUGGGGGGUGAACCAACAGAAAAGGAAGACCUUUCUCUCUGUCUCUCUAUCUCUCUCUCUCACUGUCUAACUCUGCCUGUCAAAAAAAAAAAAAGAAAAGAAAGAAAAGAAGAAUGUUUUUAUGUUUUUCUUUACCAUUUUGUGUGUAGCUAGCUGUAAACGCAAAACACUGCCUUUUCCCCAGCUGCCAUGUCUGUAUUGGAGCAGAACAGAUUAUGCAAGUGUGAUUUUUGGUAUUUUAAAUCUGGUACAAUCCACUUCUUCCUUGUCUAGGUCUGUCCUGUACAUUACAGGAAGUUUAGCACCUCUGAUGUCCACCCACAUUGCCAGUAAAUGUCCCACCCACACUAAUGAUUUUGACAACUAAAAAUUCCACCAUUUGUUUGGAGGUCCUCUCUAUUUCACUGCAGGACAAAUUGCUUUUCUUUUCCAGCUACCACCAGAAAUACCAUAAGCACGGAGGUGAUCUAAAAACAGUUCCCAUCACUUUCCUUACCCAUCCUUUUGUCACAUUGCCAUUUAAACAAAGCUGCCUGCAACCAGAACAGCAGUCUUGUGCUGAUAGGUGUUAAUUCACAAUCUCUACCCAAUUACAGCCAAUGCAAUCCACUAAAUAUAAAUAAUGUUCUCUAAUUAAUCAAGCAUUAAAGUCAGUUCAAGUUAUGAAAACUCAUGCUGCAGCAGGGAGGCCUGCACCCCUGAGACCUCCACACAGUUUCUGUUCCCUGCCCACUGCCAAACCUGUCAGGUUGUUCUCAGUUCUCAGCCCUGAUCACUUGAUACAACAGAAUACAGGAGAUGCUAGGAACUUCAAGGAAAGCUGGACUUUUUCCUGGGGUCAUACGGAAGGCUGGAAACCACUUCACAGACUGUCUUUUAAUAGAAAAGCUAAGACAUGCAUAUAGCGUAGGAUGUUGAGGUAUAAGAACUGCAAUUGGUCCUCAGUGGUUAAAGCUUCCAUUGUCUAUGGGAGAGGAUGGAGGAUGAGGCUGGAGACAGAGGCAAAAAGCUGUUUAUGAAAGACCUGCCCUGUAUAAGGAGAUUUGACUUUAUGUAAUAAGAAAUCCAGAGAAAAUGAAGGAUUUUUAAAAAGAUUUUAUUUAUUCAUUUUGAAAGAGUUACAGGGCAUGUGGGGGGAGACAGAGAGAGAUCUUCCAUCACUGGUUUACUCCCUAGUUGGCUGCAAUAGCCAGUGUGGGGCCAGGCCAAAGCAAAGAGCCAGCAGCUGCAUCCAGGUUUCCCACAUGGGUAACAGGAACCCAAAAUUUGGACCUGGGCCAUAUUCUGCUGCUUUUCCCAGGUCAUUAGCAGGGAGCUGGAUCAGAAGUGGAGCAGCCAAGACACCAACCCAUUCGGGAUGCCAGUGUUGCAGGCAGUGGCACAUCGGCCAUCCCCCAGGAUUUUAAACACAGAAAAUUCUAUGGUCUAAAUAUUUAUGUUCCUGCAAAAUUCAUUUGUUAAAACCUAAUCCUCAUUACAAUACUACAAAGGUGUGGGGGUUAUUAUGGGAUGAUUAGACCUUGAAGACUUCACCCACGUAAAUGGAAUAUGUGCCCUUACGAGAGGGGCCUAAGGAAGCUUGUUUGUCUCUUUCACCACAAGAAGACACAGUGGAGGGACCAUCUGUGAAGAAGAGGUGCUCAUCAGACAUGGACUUCCCAACCAUCCAGAACUGUUGGAAGUAAUUCCUAUUGUUUAUGAAUUACCCAAUAUAAGGUAUUUUUAUAGCAGCCAAAAAAAACUAAGAUGGAAAAUAUGGCCAACAUUUAUGAAGAAACUACCCAACCUCCACUACAAACUCAGUUCCUUCUUACCUAUCUGUCUCUGUCUCUCCGCUGCGGGGGGCGGGGGGGGGACUAUAUAUUCACCUUCCUGAUUUCCUUGCAACUUACAUGGUCACAGACCUAGUUCUUGCCAAUGUGACAUAAGAGGAGGUCAAAUGCAGAAUAUUCUAAGAUUUUCCCUCUUUUCCAAAAGGGACAGGCAUGUGAGAGGAGCUCCUUCAUCACUCUGUCCUCACCCUUGCUGGGACUCAAGCCCAGACAUUUUGAUAUGAGAUGUGAACCUCCCAAGUGGCAUUAUAACUGCUACACCAAGUGCUCAAUUCUGAUUUUUUAACAUGCAACAUGCCAUCAGGGUGUCAUCAUAAUCCUGGGUCAUUUUAAAAAUUAAAUAUGAAAUUAUGCUCACAUUCUUGUCAUACAGUAUGUGUAAUUCACAUGAAUCAUGAAAUGCUAAUGUUUCCUGGUUCCCUCUUUCCUUUCCAGGGAAGCAGUCUGCAUUCUGUUUUAGGGUUACCAGGUUUGAUCUUCCAUUUGUAGGUGUGUUCCCACUGUGGCUACCCAAGAAUUCUGCUAAUCACCACCUGGGACUCUGGCCCAUGGUCAACUCAAUAAGCAGAUGCUUUCUCCCCUGAAGCCGCCAUGUUUUUUGGUCUCUUCAGACAAGCACACACAUUGUGCAGCUACUUUCUCUGCAUGGAGAGUCAGUCAUGCUCCCCUCUUCAGUUCUCUUCACCUGGAAUGGCACUCCCCCCUGCAGCCCCGGGAACACUCCUCACCUUUGUUAUGUUCCAAGGAAACAGCAGUGAAAAGGACAUCCAGAAAUUUCAUCAUCACAAGACUGACUUCUGGUAGAGAAAGACACUACUCAGCUUCUUUGACUCUCUGCUGUCAGAACAAAUGUGUACAAAAUCCUCCAAAAGUGUGCACAUCAUCCCUUUUGAUUUCACAUGUAUCAUAGAAGUCAGGAUCUAAACCCAGGUGUUAACCGAAAAUUACGGAAGCCUGUUGUCUUGGACUGAGCUCCUCCUUGCACAAGUCCCCAACAGACCAGAUCAAACCAGAAUGGAGUAACUCAUGCUAAAUGUCAAAUAAUCAAACUGAAACUCCAAGGAAACAGAUUUCCAGACACACCAGUUUUUCUUCACAAUAGGUGAGUCCAGUCUACCUGAACCAGUGUAAUAAGGAAGUUUCCUCUGUGUUAACCUUUACCUAAAAAGUAGCCUGAUGUUAACAAUCAGGGUUGGUUUUUUUUUGUUUUUUGGUUUUUGGUUUUUUUUUUUUGCUUUGUUCUGUUUCCUUGUAUCAACCAAAUGAAACCCCAUUUUCUACUAUUGUGCAAUGGAAGCUCUUAUUCUAUUUUCUAAGGUGGUGACCUCCUCCAUUCAUGGAUGGCAAAUAAAAAUCAAUUCAAUUUAUAAGUAAAUUUGUUGUAACUUUGUCUUUUGAUGGUGGGUGGUGGUUAUCAUUAUCACUGUGGACCAGAGGCAAAUGUAUUGAUAUGUGACCCCAAAGUACAGUUAUGUGCAGGCCAUUAUUUACUUCUUUUUUUUUUAAGAUUUAUUUGCUUAUUUGAAAAUCAAAGUUAUACACAGAGAGAAGGAGAAGCAGAGAGAGAGAGAGAGAGAGAGAGAGAGAGAGCUUUUCCAUCCACAGGUUCACUAUCCAAUUGGCUGCAACAGCCAGAGCUGUGCCAAUCUGAGGCCAGGAGCUGGGAACUUCUGGGUCUCCCACGUGGGUGCAGGGGCCCAAGGAGUUGGGCCAUCUUCUUCUGCUUUCCCAGGCCAUAGCAGAGAGCUGGAUCGGAGGAGGAGCAGCCAGGACUCCAACUGAAGCCCAUAUGGGAUACCCGCGCUUCAGACUGGGGCUUUAACCAGCUGCACCACAGCACCAGCCCCUAUUAUUUACUUCUAUGACUGUACUGGUUCUACUCGGGAACUUUAUCACAUCUAUUAUUUGUUCCCCAAAACAAUGGGAUUUGAUUUUAGAUUUCAAUUUAGAGGACACAUUCUUAGAUAAUAAAAAAGAACAAAACGGAAAUGAGGAAAAGAUGUAGCUCAAGAUAAGGAUAGUUGUUUUUUUUUUUUUUUUUAAGAUUCAUUUAGUUAUUUUGAAAGGCAGAGUUAUAUAGAGAGAAGAGACAGAGAGAGAGAGAUCUUCCAUCUAGUGGUUUACUCCAGAAAUGACCACCAUGGCCUGGGCGGGGCCAGGCCAAAGCCAGGAGCUUCUUCCGGGUCUCCCAUGUGAGUGGCAGGGGCCCAAGCACUUAGGCCGUCAUCCACUGUUUCCCCUCAGGAGCAAUAGCAGGGAGCUGAUAGUGGAUUCUGGCAUUGCAGUGGUGGCUUAACUUGCUGCACCACAAUGCUGGCCCCAAGGAUAGAAUAUUUAACUGAAAAAAAAAUGAAGAAAGAAAAGGAAGACAGAGCAAUCAAGACACUUUGUCAAAUUCAACCCUGUGUGUGUUAUAUUUUCUUCAGUUUUCCCUGCCUCCCAUUUUACAGCCACUGUUAUGCUGGGGGAUUUUCAGAUUCUGAGAAGACUGGCUUCACGGUUUCGGUCUCUCCAUUCCCUACAUUCUCUACCUUUGUCCCUUCCUCCCUAUUACCCUUCAGAAAGCUUUCAAAUGGGCAGGCAUGCCUAUUAGCCUAAGCAUGAUAUUUUGAUCUAAGCAAAAAACCAGGGUGAGUAAUUGGUUACACACUGAACAGCAUAGUGCAUUUUAAACUCAGGAUUACCAGGUCUUCCUUCCCAAACACCUCCUAAAGAAAAAACAAAUUCCUCCUGGAUAGCUAGAACUCCAAUAAAUCUGCAAUCUCAUGCAUGGUGUGCCCUACAAGAAAACAGGGAAGGCUGACGACUGGUAUUUUUAAAUUAUCCAAAUAAUUACAUGGUUCUUCAUAUCAAUCCCCUAAUAUAUGCAUAGACUGAGAUAGAGGCUUGUCUGCAAUGCUACUUUUUAAUUCUGCUUAUGUGCAACUGCCGACUUUUUCUAUGCUCUUUUUCCUUUGCUAGUUUUAAAAGAAAAGUAAGCAAGGGAAAAAAAAGGCAAGAAAGAAAAAGGAAAGAUGAGUGAUUUGAUCAUCACAAACCCCAAAGCCCUGUUAAAAAGUAUUUGUACUUUAAAAAAUAUUUUUUGCUGAAAGCUUUUUCAGGAGAAAUAAAUUAUACUGACUCUAUAUAAAUAAAAACAGAAAGAGCAAAGACGAACAUGAACAUAUAUUACCAAUGCUAUUCAUCAAAUAUAGUUGACACUUCAAUCUAAUCCGGCAAAUGAAAACACAGAAGUUUAUAGAGUUAUAGGAAGUAAGCAAUUUAAACAUAGCAGGGCACAAGGUCAUCUAACAAUACAACUAGGAAGAUGUUCUUUUUUCUUUCCUCUUUUUCUCUCUUUCAUCCUUUCAAAGCUCUCGAAUACUGAUUGAUAAUCUAUCUUUCUCACAGGGCGAGGUGAUCUUUAAAUCAGAUAAUUAAUAGUAGCAGUCCAAAUGUUCCUUCCCAAGUCCACCUUCCUCUAAUGUCAUAAAAUAAAAGGACACUUCAUGCAUUUCAUGCUAUCAUUAUGGUGCAAGCUUUCUCUUUCCAUAAUAAAGUAAUACAUUUCUUAACUAAUUAGUUCAUUAAUUUUAAAUGUGAUUCACAGUAAAAACUCUUUGAGAUAGUUAAUCUUCCUUAAGAGUGUGUUAGAUUGUAAAAAACAGUUCUCUGAGCACCGUCACCACCAAUCAUUAAUGGUCUGGACAGGUGAGGAAAGACAGAGCUGUGAAAACCACAUCUCAUUUGGUUUUGAAAGCAAACCCUCCAAGGCUGCUUUAUAACCAGAAAUCAUAGCCAUGUCACGCAGAUGCUGUGGUAAACUUUACGGUUCCAAUUAGGAACGGACAGUUUUCAAUGCACUGCUCAAACACUUUGCUAGUCUAUAUGUAAAUACUUCACUAAAAUCACUGAACGGUGAUGGAGUUCAAUAUUAAUAUCGCAAAUUAAAGAUGACAUCUGAAAGUCUGCUCUCCAGAAGAGCGAUCAGAGCUCAUGGCAAGGCAAUAAUCAGCGGCUUAAGCAACGUUCAAGAGCCAUGGGGGAGAAACAAAUGUGAUGGAGCUCGGAAAUUGCACUGGUGCGUGAAGAACAUACCAUAUUAAAGAACAACUGCUGAUUGACCUGGCGAUGAAGUGGAGGAUAUGACCAUAUGCUUCCAUAAAGGACAUUUGGAAAUGGCUUCAAGAUUAUUCCCUGAGAGCUCAUGACAAUUACCUGGUGUAUUCCCAUUAAUUGACAAGGUAAACUUUAUAUGUAGCAGUGAAAUAAGCUGUCAAAAUAACUUCCUGUCCUCCUGGGAUGAAAAAAAAAUUACCUGACUAAUGAUCCCACCAACAUAUUUUCCACACAAAAAUAUCAGAGGAUUAUGCUGCCUGGAUGUCCCGUAUGUAUUGUAGUCAUUGCCUUCGAAAGGGGAGUCAUUUCAACUUCCUUACUUGGGUCAUUUGGACAGGGGAAAAUAGGUAUGGCAAAGUGGGAACCAGGAUAUAUAAAGUUCUAGGAGAGGUAGGAGAUGAAUCAAUGAAGAGUUUAUAAUCCCAGCACAGAGCCCUCUGCCUUAUUCUAAGAAUACUAUUCUGGGCCAGCAUCCUCUGGUAAAUCGUAUUUUUGGAUAUAGAAACUGAUAAUACAGCUAAUGCAAUAAAGGUAGCCCCCAGCAUGAUGCCUAAAUCCAACUGUGCAGUACCCAAGACACUGCACCACUAUUCUUUAUGUUCAGAAAGUGACAGGAAAUGAAGCCGAGCAUAGAGGUCAGUAAAUAUUUCUUCCCUGUGACAGUGGUCCUGAGAGUGAGCCCUGGGGCCUGGCUGCUAGAGUUCAAGCCCCAGCUCCCCUCCCUACCAGCUGGGUGGCCUUGGGCAAGUUACUUCAUCUCUCUGUGCUUCCCCUUUCUGCUGUAAAAUGAAGCUACCUCACAGAUCAGGGCCUGGUGUGCACUCAAUGGCUACUGCCUGUUAACUAUUACCUUCCUGGCCCUACAUCAGUCCAGGGACAUAUUUAGGGAGCAAAUGAAGAGCUGUUCAGCUGCAGUUAAUCAGUUUCCUCUCUCUGGUUCCCAAGCGAGGCAGGGACUGGGAGAGGCAGCAGUUGAGAUUCUCCCACGACUCUGGUUGUGACUGACUGGUUCCCAGUGAAGAAUCUACAGCCUGGGCUGCAACCUGGGAAGAGACCUGUGCAUCAGCCUCUCCUUUUGCUGCAUAUUCUUUGGUUCCAAGAGACUUUAGCCUGGGAAUAUUAGAAGAAAAGAAACAGGACAUGGAAGCAGCACAAAGAGAAUGCUGCUUUCUGCUGUAAUUGCUGUGAGUGCAGAGACGGCCUGUGAAGAGCAGGUGCCACAUUGGAUUGAAAUGUUCUCACCUGCACUUUUUCCAGGAGCUGGCACAAAGGGAAGGCUGUGACACGAGAGCAAUCUCUCCGUAACAAUCAUCUGCCACAACCGUACCAUCCAUAAUGGCGGUAAUAGAGAAAGCAAGCCGAGGUAAAGGCGCAUUGCCUCACCUCUCUGAGAUCAAACAAUGCUCAGAUUGAUGGAGGGGACACUUUAAUAUCUCCUGAAAAGUCCAUAUUUCUCAAUAUUGCUGAACUACCAAGACUGUUCCUAAGGUAAGGUUAAAAAAAUAAUUGUAGUUUGGGCUCCUGUUUCAAAAGAAGAACAAACCGUUAUUUAAGUUCUGUAAGAGAACAACAGAGACACUGAAUAUAGACUGUGCCUCUGACCCAUUGUGAAACAGAAGGAAAAUAACGCAAGGACUGGCUGCCCGUGAAUACCCUGCCCUGAAUUCAAGAGUGGUUGGAGUGGGUAGGACAGGCAGGAGGGAUGAUUAUUUUUUAAUGGCCACUUCAACAGAGAUGUUCAUGCUGGCAUUGUUCUUGGGAACAAAGCCUCCAUUCUGCAAGACACUUGUCACACUCCAAUUAAAAACAGAAAUCAUUGUUCAGGGGUAGUGGAAUAUCAGUUUCCUUCACCUGUAUUUUGUCUGUUGUUGAAAAUCUUACAUAAAGAAAAAGUUACAGACCAAGAAGAGCUUUUUAUAAGCUCAGAGUGCAGAAUAUUGCCACUUUAAAAAAAUAACCAUUUCUGAAAGAAAGCAGAGGUGUCAGAGACAAAGAGAAAAAGAGGGAGAUGUGUCAGUCAGUCAAUAGUAUUUAUUGAACACUCACUGUGUGGGGAGAACACAAAGGCCAUGAUGCACAUGGUACUUGGUCUCCAGGAGCUUGCAAACUAAUGAAAGGACCGGCACUAACACGAGAAAAUGCUUUCAAAAUGCACACAUAGAAGAGACGACACGACUAAUUGUAGCUUUAAAGAAUUGUGUGCCCGGUGUGUGUGUGUGUGUGUGUGUGUGUGAGAGAGAGAGAGAGAGAGAGAGAGAGACAGGUUUAAAGGCUCUUGAAAGUAAAAAAAUAGCUGUGGUAAUGAAAUCAGAGAAUAAACACCACUGAACACAGGAGAAAUGAUACAAGAAUACCAAUUAUUCUGUAGCACUUUUGUCUUUCAGUUGACUCUUCUCUGCGUGUAAAUCAGAGGUGGAAAUAUAACACAGGGUACCUCUCUUGUCAUGGGCAUGUCGGGAAACUGGCUUCUCCCCUCGUCUGAUAGCUAGCGCUUCAAAGAUAUGCAUCAUAUUCACUACUGUUCCACCUCAUGGAAGUGAUUUGACUUGAAAAUGCAAUGACAAGGAGCCAUAUUGGGGAACAGAAAUUGUUUACAUAAUUGCUUGGUCUGUUGGUGAAUCCAGGCCUUCAUUUAGAAUUCAUUAUUUUAUAAACUGCACAAAGGGAUUUCCAAGUUGUCAAGCUUGGUUUGUAAAAAAAUAAAAUAAAAAGAUAUGAUAAAAUGUCUGGCACAAGCUUUUCUGACUUUAAUUUUUUUCCCCUCUGUCCUAUUCAUCUUCCCAGUCAUAGCGGGUACUCCAUCAGCUGUGAUAGCUGCUAUUUUCUCUGGAUUUAGAUCAAACAACCUCAGAACAUCCAUCAGGGCCAUUUUUACAUCCUUUCUCCUUUGAUGCCAAACCCCAAAGAUUCCCCAUCAUGUACAGUCUGCAAGUUGUUGGACUGACAAGUAUUAGUAACCUUGGAAUGUCACCCAGACACCAGCUUUCAUCCUGGAGGAGGCUAAUGAAUUUUGCUGCAACCAACUUGGUCUUGAAAUGAUUUUUCUUUAGGUCACCUUUUAUAGUUAAAAUAGUUUGCUUUCUUAUAGUUUACUUUUUUCUGCUAAGCUAAAGUGGCAGAGAGAAUUGAGCCCAAGGACAAGAAUAUCUGGAGUACAGAAUUCUAAUACUUACUGUAGAACUGUAUAUGUUUUAAUCAUCAGGGUAAAAAUUUAAUUUCUUAGGGUAGCUUUAUCUGUUAAAUGUGACUAUAAAAGUAUAGCUUACAACUUAGGGUUUUCAAUUUUGUAAGCUUAUUAGACCCUUUAAAAUAUAUACAUACAAUACACACACAUUUAAUAAACUUUGAUCAUGUGUAUGUACACACACAUUCAUACACAUACAGACUGUUAUGUUGAAUUAACUGUGCUUUUGAUAUACCUUCAAGGAGAACAUGCAAACUCACCUAAAGCUAACUAACAUAAUAUUAAAUGAAUUUGUAUUUUCCUAGGCAUAUUAGCAUUGUCCAUGCUCUUGAACAGGAUAGUAUACACAUGUGAGACGUAUCAAUUAUCAGUGCAAUUUUGGUAAAAACAAAAUGUGCCUGGUCUUUAAAAUAACUGUAUUCUACAGGGUGCUACAGAGUUAAGAACCACUGAUCCAGGGCUAUACUACACAACAAUUAUUACUAUAAUUUAUUCAUGUAGAGAGAGGGUUAAUGGUGCCCAAAUCAGGGGUCCAAACCCAGUAUUCAUGUCUUUAUGCAAUUACUAUGCAUUGAAGACACACACAAGGUGAGUCCCUUCCUAUCCCCCCUCCAGCCACUGCCAAGAUACCCAGGGGGGCACCAGCACGUUCCAAGGGAAAGCGUCAUGUCCGAGGUUUCCAAGGUCAUUUCAGAAGACUGUCGCAUUCACUGAUGACUUUUCAGACACAUUUCACUGUGUUUGUCACAGACAGUGAGGAAUAUCCUUCGCUCCUAUUUGUGCCACACAUUAUUAUUAGGCAGAUGUCCCAACUAACCCCUUAUGAAAGCAGCUCCCUCAGCUUUUCCUGCCUCCACUGUUUUGCAAAGGUCAUGAGGAAGAUAUGAAAUGUGCCCCAACUAUCCUCUCCAGUCCCUGGCUCUUUAUACCCGCUACCCGGACUACCGCUUCUGGAGGUCAACUACACCAGUACGUCUUGAACGUAAAUGCUUAUUUCAAUCACCUGGGGAUCUUGCUAAAAUGCAAAUUCUUAUGUAGAAAUGCUACCCUAGUACCUGAGAUUCAGAACCAGGACUAGACACAAACUGUAAAAGGGUGACAAAAAAAAUCCAGCAAUCAAAAUAAAUAUUUUCAUGUGAUAUUUUGAAAAAGUAAAUUAAUAACAAAAAUAUCUGUAAAGUAUGCUGGUGCUUGUGGCACAAUAGGUUAAUCUGCCACCUGCCAUGCUUAACCCAUGUGGGUGCCAGUUCGAGUCCUGGCUGCUCCACUUCUGAUCCAGCUCCCUGCUAAUGCACCUGGGAUAGCAGUGGAAUAUGGGCCAAAUCCUUGGGUCCCUGCACCUAUGUGGGGGACCUGGAUGAAGCUCCUGGCUCCUGGCUUUGGCUGGGCCCAGCCCUGGCCUUUGUAGCCAUUUGGGGAGUGAACCAGUGGAUAGAAGAUUUCUGUCUCUCCCUCUCUCUUUGUAACUCUGGCUUUUAAAAAAAUAAAUAAAUACCCAUUAUAAAUAAAAUAUCCAAAUUUAAAUGCAGGAAUGAAGCUCCCAACUGAUGUUACCAGAUCACAUUUUUAUCAGUAAGAUUACAUAGUCAAGAAAAUUUUAGGGACUGACUUCUGGUAUAGCAGUUAAGAUGCCAGGUGGGAUGCCUGCAUUCCAUAUUAAAGUGCCUGGGUUCAAGUUCCAGUUCUGCUCCAAAUUUCAGCUUCCUGCUAAUUCAUACCCUCAGUGGCAGCUGGUAAUGGCUCAAGUCGUUGGGUCCUUGCCACCCAUGUGGAAGACCCAGACUGAGCUUUUGGUUCCUGGCUUUGGCCUGGGCCCGUCCCAGCUGUUGCAGGCAUUUGGGAAGUGAAUGUAAGGAUGGGAGAUCUCUCUCUAAUAAAUACAUAAGUAAAUAACUUUUGAAAAUUUAUUGCAUUCAUUUUAAAUAGAUUAACAGUGAAUGGUGCAAGUAUUAUUUUUCUGUUUUUAAAAAAGAUUUAUUUUAUUUAUUCAAAAGACAGAGUUACAGAGAGAGGUAGAGACACACAGAGAGAGUGGUCUUCUAUCCACUGGUUCACUCCCCAAUUGGCUGCAACAAUCAGAACUAAGCCAAUCCAUUCAGAAGCCAAGAGCUUCUUCCAGGUCUCCCACAUGGGUGCAGGGCCCCAAGGACUUGGGCCAUCUUCUGCUGCUUUCCCAGGUACAUUAGCAGGGAGCUGGAUCGGAAGUGGAGCAGCCGGGACUCGAACCGGCACCCAUAUGGGAUUCCAGCACUUCAGGCCAAGGCUUUAACUCACGCCACAGCACCGGCCCCAACAGUUUUUAAAAAUUAAAAAAUUUUUAAUUUUUAACUUACUUCAAGGGGACAUGCCCUCCCAUUUUCCAAUUAUGUAUUAAUCUGCUAAAUUGGGCAUAUGCUAGGACCACUAGUGUGUAUGCCACAUCUCAUCACAUCCUUAUAGCUGUGGAAACUUCACUCUACAGCCAUGAUUUUCAACAGGGAGGAGGGGUAAUUUUGCACCCCUAGAGAGAUUUAGCGAAGACUGCAAACAUUUUUGUUGUUACCCUAUCUGAGGGGUCUACAUGUCAGGAUGCAGCUAAACAUCAUAUAAUACACAAGAAAAUCCUGUAGCAAAGAAUUAUCUAGCCUAAAAAUGUCAAUAGCAUAGGCCGGCACCAUGGCUUACUAGGCUAAUCCUCCGCCUGCGGCGCUGGUACUCCAGGUUCUAGGCCCGGUUGGGGCACCAGAUUCUGUCCCGGUUGCUCCUCUUCCAGGCCAGCUCUCUGCUGUGGCCUGGGAAGGCAGUGGAGGAUGGCCCAAGUGCUUGGGCCCUGCACCCGCAUGGGAGACCAGGAGGAAGCACCUGGCUUCUGGCUUUGGAUUGGCACGGUGCGCCGGCCGUAGCGGCCAUUUGGGGAGUGAACCAAUGGAAGGAAGACCUUUCUCUCUGUCUCUCUCUCUCACUGUCUAACUCUGCCUGUUAAAAAAAAAAAAAAAGUCAGUAGCAUCAAAACUGAGAAGCCCUGCUAUAAAAAUAACAUACCACAGAAAAAACAUAUCCUAGAGAACAGGCAUUGUCAUAGUGUAGUUUGAACUUAUUUUUUUCUGAUUCUUAACUUUUUCUAUACACCAUCUUCCCUUACUAGGGAAAAAAGAAAAAGAAAAAACUAAAACCAGCAUUGGGGCUGCACUGUGGCACAGCAGGUAAAGCCACUGCCUGCAGUGCCGGCAUCCCAUAUGGGCACCGGUUUGAGACCCAGCUGUUCCACUUCCAAUCCAGCUCUCUUCUACGGCCUGGGAAAGCAAUAGAAGAUGGUCCAAGUGCUUGGGGCUCUGCACUUGCAUGGGAGAUCCGGAAGAAGCACCUGGCUCCUGGCUUUGGAUCAGCUUCGGCUAUUGUUGCCAUUUGGGGAGUGAACCAAUGGAUGGAAGCGUUCUCUCUCUCUCUCUCUCUCUCUCUCUCUCUCUUUCUCUCUGUCCCCCUCCUCUGCCUCUCUGUAACCAUGCCUUUCAAAUCAAUAAAUAAAUCAUUUUUAAAAAAAAGAAUUAAAAAACCCCAGCAUUCCUAUGUCUAACCCUGGUCAUCGACUUAGUGAUAGUCAAUAAAUAAUACCUCUUUAUGUAUAAAGGUACAGAAACAGGCUUUCAGCUUAGCAGCUAAGAUGCCAUGUCCCACAGAAUACUUGGGUUCUAUUCCCAGCUCUGGCUUCUGACUCUAGCUUCCUGCUAAUGCAAGGUCUGGGAGGCAGCAGUGAUGGUUCAAGUAAUUGGGUUCCCUGCUUCUCACAUGGGAAACCUGGAUUGCUUUCUUGGCUCCUUGCUUUGACUCCAGCCCAAUUCAGGCUGUUAUAGGCAUUUGGGAAUUAAACCAGCAGAUGAGAUCAAUAUAUAUUUCUAUCUCUACUUCUGCCUUUUACAUAUUUAACAAUUUUAAAAGGUUUGAUAUAAGAAAAUUAAUAUUCUGGAAUUCUUAAGGGAAAUGUCACUGGGUGAAAAAUUGAAAAGGUUAGGAAGAAUUACUACAUGUUACUAAUUUAUAGCCACUUAAACAUGCAAACCAAGAGGCUAGCAUUUGGCCCAGCCAUUAAGACACCCUCAUCCCAUAUCAGAUCACCUGGAUGUGGUAUCUGGCUCUAGCUCCUGCUCCAGCUUUCUGCUAAUGUGGACCUUGGGAGGCAGUCACAAUAGCUCAAGUGGUUGGGAUAUUCUUACACACAUGGGAGACUUGCGUUGAGUCCCCAUCUUUGACUUGAUCCAUCCCUGGCCAUUACAAUCAUUUGGAGAGUCAACCAACAGAGGAGAGCUAUUUCUCUAUCUGUUUCUCUGUCUCCAUGCCUCUCAAAUAAAUUUUUUAUAAGAAAUGUAAUAGAAAACCACUAUGAUUUUGUAGAAAUUUGGCUCCAAUAAAUAAUGUUUAACAAGUUGCAUUCUCUGGUACAAGAUUUGGAAAGCUAAACUUACACUGAAUUUUUGUAUCAACUUAGAUUUGAAGCUAAUAGAAACUCAUCCACCUUUCCAAAAAUUUUUUAUGUCAGUUGAAUCACGAUAUCAAAAACAAAGACAAAAAUGCUUAGGAAUAUCAUUCAAAUAAAAAUGAGAAUAUAUGAAUGAAUGCAAUGUCAUCUUGUUAUAGAAAGCUUAUCAGUUGUGCAUUUUCCAUACCCUAUUAGGAAUAACAGACAUAGAACUGGAUAUAGAAAUUAUGGUAUGUACAUACACUAUGGAAUACUACUCAGUGGCAAAAAAAAAAAAGUGAAAUCCUGUCUUUUGCAACAAAAUGGAUGCAACUGGAAACCAUUAUACUUAAUAAAAUAAGCCAAUCCCCAAAAGACAAAUACCAUAUGUUUUCCUUUACCUGUGAUAACUAAUAGAGUACCCAAAAUAUAAUGUAUUGGAAUGAAAUUGACAUUUUGAGAUUCAACAAUCAUUUAUAGUCCUCAUCUCUACUGUUGAGGAACAGUGUUUUUUUCUUCAUACUAUUUACUGAACUCUUUACUUGGUGUGGGUUAACCUUAGAAGUAUAAAGUAAACUGAAAGUAAAUCUUUGUAAAAAUUAAGCAUGGGAAUAGGAGAGAGAGGAGGAAGAAGGGUAGGAGUGUGGGCAGGAGGAAGGGUAGGGUAGGAAGUGUCACUAUGUUCCUAAAUCUGUAUGUGUGAAAUGCAUGAAAUUUGUAUAUAUAUCUUAAAUAAUUUUUUUAAAAAAUUCACAAAAAGAAAAAAAAUUUAUAAAAGCAAUAACAUACAUAGAACAUUACAUGGCACACUGGGAACAAAAUAGAGACUUAUAAAGAAGAUACAUUACUUUUCUAGUCAUCUUUCUUUUUUCCACACCAGAGAAAGUUGAAGAUUAGACACAUCAAAAUUAUUUUUUUAAAAAGAAUAGGAUUCCAGCUGUUUGACCAAAAGAGGCAAUGUCUGGAAUAUAUUUCAAUAAUGUAUUGCAACCAGAUGUUAGCUAGAGUUUUCUCCUUUUUAAAGAGCAAUGAAGCCUGUCCAAGAGAAACUCUUUAAUCAUCCCAUUCUCCCUUUGGAAUUAUGGAAAAUAGCCACUUGCAAAUGCUGUGAGUCUGUAUGUGUGAAUGUGUCUAACUUCUGACUUGCUGCUUCAUUUGAAAGAAAUACAUCUCUAUUUUUCUAUACCUCUUAGAUAUUCGUAAGUCUUAAAAAGGCUUGAAUAUUUUUUGAGACUGGCUUAAGUCAUCUAAAUUAUACUCUGCCAUAAUUGUGAAUGUUUUCUCUAAAACAUUCCAAGGAAUGAUGAAUUUUCUGAAUAUGUUGACAACCAUUUUAUUUUAUAGAAACACAGAAAGUAGUGAUUUUAUAUCAUUUUCAAUGACAUUUCAUAGGUAGAUGGGCAAUAAAUAAAUGUCUGUAUAUAUAUAUAUAUAUAUAUAUAUUGACAGGCAGAGUUAGACAGUGAGAGAGAGAAAGACAGUGAGAAAGGUCUUCCUUCUGUUGAUUCACCCCCCCAAAUGGCCGCCAUGGCCAGCGUGCUGCGCCGAUCCAAAGCCAGGAGCCAGGUGCCUCCUCCUGGUCUCCCAUGUGGGUGCAGGGCCCAAGCACUUGGGCCAUCCUCCACUGCACUCCCUGGCCACAGCAGAGAGCUGGACUGGAAGAGGAGCAACCGGGACAGAACCGGUGCCCCAACCGGGACUAGAACCUGGGGUGCCGACGCCGCAGGCAGAGGAUUAGCCAGUGAACCGCGGCGCCGGCCAAAAUGUCUGUAUUUUUAUAAAGCUGUUUCAACAUUGCAUAGAACAUAAAAACCUAUUCAUAAUAUUCAUGUUAGAGAAAACAUUUUCUUGCUUCAUUCAUGCGACCACAUUAAGUGAGUUCUACAGUUAAGAGAACCAUUUAUCUGGCAACUUUCUGCAGGUUACCAGUGGUCCAACACUAUGAACCAUCCAGUGAAUUUGGAACAACAUCUUGGAAGUGUGAUGGGAAUAUGAUACAGGACCUGUUUUUUUCAUCAGUAGUCUCUAGCAGGAAGUGAUAGGUUAAUCACGGGUGCCUUUGUAACUGUAUGAUACAAUAUAUAAACACAUGAACAUGUGGAGGGCUCUUUAUGAAGCGCUGAGACAUUUUAAGUGAUUCAUGGCAGGGAAACCAUGUGAAAGGAGAAUGUUUACAGUGACAUGUGGUAGGAGCCUGUAGGAUAGUCUGAUUUCCUCUGGGAAACAGAGGUUGAGACUCAGGCUUCUGGGCAGGUAGUUUAUUUUGGAAACAAGUGUGAAGGACCAAAGAGAAUAAAAGCAGGAAGGAAAGGCAAAUCAAGGGUGCAUUACUGUGUUGCUCACCACUGUGGACUGCUGGAACUUUAACAUGCUGGCAGUACUUGAGUGUCUGAAUAGAAUAGCCCACCCAAAGGACCCCAGGAAAAAGCAUUUAACAUUUGGUUCUAGAAUCUUCUUCUUUUAUUAUUUUUUUUUAAGAUUUAUUUAUUUAUUUGGAAGACAGAGUUACAGAGAGAGGUAGAGACAGAGAAAGAGGUCUUUCAUUCACUGAUUCACUCCCCACAUGGCUGCAACGGUUGGAGCUGCGUGGAGCUGCGCCAAUCUGAAGCCAGGAACAGGAGCUUCUUCCAGGUCAUGGCCCAAGGACUUGGGCCAUUUUCUACUGCUAUCCCAGUCCAUGGCAGAGAGCUGGAUCAGAAGAGGAGCAUUCGGGACUAGAAUCGGCACCCAUAUGGGAUGCUGGUGCUUCAGGCCAGGGUUUUAGCCCACUGUGCCACAGCGCUGGCCCUCUAGGAUCUUCUUGGGAUCUCCUUUUGGAGGUGUAGAGUUGUCCAUUAGGAGGUAAUUCUCCUCCCAGACCCAGGGUCAUGGGCAUCUCAGACCACAGCAUGAGAAAUUAGGGCAGGUUGUGAGCAUCAGAUGGCCAAAGUGUUGUGCACGUGUUCACAAUAGCCACAACUGCAACAGGAAACCAGAGUGAGUGGAUGUGAAGCAGUGCUGAAGAGUCUGAUAGGUCUCAAAGUUCAAGAGAUUUAGAGGUCUCAAACAAGAUUUAAGCAAAGAAGUCUUCUACAGAAAGAUUUGGUCCCCUCUGUCACAAUAAAUGUUUUCAUGAGGAAGUACCUAUCAAAAUGUCCUGGUUUUCAUUUUGUUUUUUAAUGAGCUAUCUCAUUUCCCUAGACAUUCUACUAAUAAAACUAAUUUGCUUCUUGACUGUUAUGUAAAUGAUAUAUCAUCAACUUUGAAGGAAGGAAAACUUUGUCUUAUUUUAACCUGGCUAGAUUUUAAUCCUUAUUGUUUAUACUUAAUUAUCUACAGAGACACCCUUACUUUAGGAGGAUUGAGAGGCCAGCUGUUGGGGAGAAGGAUUAGCCAAUGUAUUUUUGAAGAAUUGAUGUUUCUAUAAACAAUUUCAAGUCUCCUCAAAUUAGCACCAUUCUGAUGGUUCAUCUCAUAUAAUCCAGCCAAAAAGAUAUUGAGACUUCAACAAGAAAUAUUUGCUCACAAGCUGCCCUUCAGAAAUUGGCUACUGGCAACAGGGCCCUAGUAAUACUCCACAGACGUGUGAACUGGAGCUCCUCAGAGAAUCUGACCUCAGAUGUGGGGGAUGGGGAGUAUCAGAGAACACCUUAGGGUUGUAUUUUUGGCUUGGCAAUUAUAAUGCACACAUCCCAUUUCAGAGUACCUAGGCUUGAAUCCUGGCUCUGCUUCCAGUUCCAGCUUCCUGCUGAUAUGCAGCCUGGGAGGGACCAGGGGAUGACCUAGUUUACUUGGGUCCAUGCUACCCACAUCAGAGGCCUGGAUUAGACUUGCUUCCUGACUUUCGCCUGACUUAGCCCUGGUUGUUACAGGAAUUAGGGGAGUGAACCAACAGAUGGAAGACCUUUCUGUCUCUCUCAUCCUUUCUAAUAAAUAAAAUUAAAAAGAAAGAGAAAGAACAAGAGCAUCUUGUAGGGCAACAAUGGGAGCCAGGGUCCCCACAGGUCCUAGUCUGGCCCAGGACACCAUGAUGGGAUAGUACUGCAGCUCUGGCUCAUUCCAACCUCCAGGGGAGGACUCACGAAAGGUUGAGGAAGUUGCUCCAAAAACACAAGGGAGGAGAGCAGGAUGUGAAUGGAUCAUUCCUUGCCUGGGGACUUUUUGCCUGGGUCUAAGAGCAGCACUAUUUCUCCCAGUCACCUGCUUUUUUAGAGGCCAAGCCACUAAUAUUCUGACAGCCUAAAUACUUUUCCUUUGUGUGCUAAUGCCAAGCAUUUAUAAACCAGGUUUUUGCAGAGUAGAAGUGUGUAUAUAUAUUGGAAUCCUGUUUUUAUCUGCAAUACAACCAAGGGGCAACUCAUUAGGAGUAUUAAAAAACCAUCUUUGUGCUUUAUAUAUUACUCCCCAGACAUUCAUUCCACUUAGAAUGUACUCCUAGUUUUAAGAGAAUGGAACUUGCCUCAUUUUCAUUUGAUCUGUAAUGGAAAAUAUAGAUGACACGGCAUAUUUUCUUCUUUCCUUCAAUUUUAAAGAUGCCUCUUUAUUGUUUUAGUAUUUGGUUAGUAUCUUCUGCAACAUAUAUUUCCAUCACAGAUUCUACAGAAAACAACAUUAUCAAGGUUAUGUAGUACAGACAUGGUCACAUCUACCUUUUCUUAAGAAGACAGCAUUAAUGUUGCUGUUACUAUUGAACUGUUCUUGUUUCCAUGAGGUUAACAUAUAAAAAUGUAUUAUUCAUGAAAUGAAAUGCAUUUCAUAUAUUUCAACAAUUGUUAUUAUUGUUCUAGAGGGGGAAAUAAAUGAAAAUGGUGGCAGUUGUAGAAAUGCAUCCUUAUUCAGGACUUAAUAUACAAUACCAAUUUAGACUACGUACUUCUUCAACUUUAAACCUUCCAUUAAACUGCAAAGCUUGAUGUCAGCUAAACUCUAUAAAUGUUAAUUUAAGGUCAAGGUGCUCCUGGGAAACAUUUGAAUGCUUAGAGCGCAGCCCAAGAAAACUUCUUUUCAAAGAUUUAUGGGAUGAUAUGGCUUCUUUCUGAAAAAUAGGAACUCGGUUUCUACUUUUUCCAAUCACUUUCUAUUUCAAGCUCUAGGACACACUUUCCUUUAUGGAUCUUUCUGAAAUAUUUAAUAGCAUUCUGGAGAUGUUAAAAUGCAAAUUUUUUCCAUGUGUAAUGUAUAGUGUCUCUCCAAUUUAAACCUCAUUUAGUAAUGCCAAAUGCUUUGUAUCACAAGAAAUGAAUCAUCCAAACUCAGGAGUCUCUUCGUCCAUAAAGAUGGCCAAAACAUAGAUGCAUAAUUUUCAGUAUCCAAGUUAUCAUGAGGUAGGGUUUUUAGGCAAUAAACACUUUCCCUGAAACUAAAUCAUGUGUCAAAAUGCGUAGAAGAUUUGGUUCAAAAAGGCCUAGAGUCCACUUUCUCUGUUGCCUAAAUUAUUAUAUGAGAUAAAGUUGAGCAGGGAAGAAUCUGCAAUUGUUCCCUACUUUCAGGCUACCAACUUUGAGUAGGGAGCUGGAGUCUGUUUUUAAGGGGUAGGGUAUUUCAAGAAGAAAGAGAUUUCAGUUUAUUAUUUGCCAGGAAGCUCUAAAAUCACUUCACUCCAUACGAAAUGUGAGGUUCUGAGCAUGAGGUCUCAGAAGGAGGAGACGUUAUCACCAUAUUCCUCUCCUCCUCUCUGGGACAUGGAGUAGAGAGGACACAGUUUACUGACUAUUCUGGGAAGCCCCACUGUAGCCAGUGGUCUAGGAAGGCAGAUUUAAGUAGCACCUGAAGCAUUUAAUGUAACAUUUCCUGUAAUAUAGCGCCUCCUGGGUCAGGCAAUGAAAGGCCGGACAAUUUAUAGGCUAUCCAGACGUUGACUAGGUGGUUUGACACAACAGCUUUGUCCAGAAAGGGAUGAUGUUGAUUAGGCAGGGCAAUGGCAAUUUUCUCUAAGGAAUAUAAAGGUAGAAUUUAAAAAAAAAAAACAGGGUUGAGCAAUUAGCAGGGGAAUUGAAGGUGAAAGGACACACAGAGGCGGCCAUUUGCAGAGGCCACGAGGCAGUAACGGUUAUAAAUGAGCAGACACUCUAAUAAUGCCAGAGUCAUAAAGAAGAAAAUCAGCAGGGAGAGAGAAAUUUCUUAGAAACAACAGGAAAGAGAAUUUAAGUUGUAUUAAUCACAAAAUUCCAGAAUACAAACCUUCUUUGUGAGCCCCAGAUGUAAGACUUUUUCUAGUUCCCUGGGACACUUACCAUCUUUAUUCCCACAAGUUUUUCUUUAUACUGUCUUUAUUCCCACAAAUAAUUUCUUGCUCAUUGAGAUACUCUCAGUUCUUUGUAUAGUACUAACUAAAAGGGCAGUUUAUGGAGCUGCUGGGGAAUGCCUAAGAAGUAACUAAUGGACCCUUAUUUCCUGGAUCACAUGACAAAGUUGAAUUAUGCAGAUCUAAAAAUAAUCAUUGAUUUCCUGAGGAAAAUGCUGUCUAAGUAGCACCUCCUUUUUGAUGGGAAGGGGAACUGGAGGCUGAUGUGGAUGUGGCUUGCAACAGUAGCAAUGGAAGGAAUCCAGAUGAAUCCAGAGAAACUGCUACUAGAGACCUAAGGGAAGAAAAUCAGUCGUAGACUUCUGAUUAAUACUCCUAGUUGAUGUUGUGACUCCUAGUCAAAAUAAAAGCACAUUUUGAGGACUCUAUUGGUUGUCUGAGUAUGGUAGAAAGACACAACAGUCCUUUGGAGUCCUCACGUAAAAAAUAUGCUGCAACCAGUGCUGACCUCACAUUAGGAAAUCAUUCACUCCAGGAAAUUCUGAUCUAAAAUAACCAGAAACAAGAAGAGCCUUAUGAGAUGCUGGGAUGUGGCAGAAGGAACAGUGGGGUAGGAAUUUGGAACCCACCUGAGACUAAGAGUAUCUCAUUUUACCUCUCAGGAGUGCACAUGACUUCUAUGGGAUCAACUUUAUUCUCUAUGGUAAUUUAGGCCCAAGUUUCUUCAUGGGUAAAAUUGAGUGGUGGGAUUAGAAAAUUAAUAAGACCUUAGUUCUAAAUUCCGAAGGUCUCUCUGAUUUGACUCUGAUAUAUCCAUAGGUGAGAACUCUGAUCUCCCUGGCUACUCAGGAAUGGAAAGGAACAUUUUUAAGCUAAUAGUGUUGCAACUGUUGGGUUUAAUUAUCACGUGGUAACUUGGUGUAUAAAUAUCAAGUUUCCAAAAAGUUUUGGCCUAAUCAAAUUUAUGAGAUGUGUGAAUAUGAGAAGGUACAUAACUACCUUUUGUAAGUAAUACAAACAACAGUUUGUUAAACCAUGUCUACAAACCUGGCCCCCUGAGCUAGCCUCCAUCCUCAAUCUCCUGCCUAUUCUAUGUUCACUGUUGGAGGAAAGCCCCUCAUGGUAAUUCCCAUCUGUCUCUAGCUUUUCUGACAAGUUCAUGGUCCAAGGUGAGAAGACAUUUGCUUACAGGCAGUUAUCUUAGUUUGGGGUUCCCCUUGAAACAAACCCUGAGAUAAAGAUUUGAGUUGAUUUGGGUGCUGAUACUAGGAAACUAUGAAGGUGAGUGUGGGAGGGAGACAAGAAAGAGAAGAAAGCCAGGAAAGAUACGUUAUCAAGCCAGUCCCCCAACCUCCCUCAUGCAGCUGGAAUCAGCACUGGGGGAAACUUCAAGGAUGCAUGUCGCACCCCAGCUGAAGGGCAGUUACAUACUAACUACAGUAAGUUUUGCUUGAGGAAUGUAAAAGCAAGUCAAUUCCUCGGCACUUCCAGCCUGCCCCCAUAGGUUAAAUGAGAUCUGGCAGCAAGGAACAGCUCCAAGCAAAGAAAUGCAGGUGCUCCCUGCAGGAAGUCACUGAAGCAGUAAGGGCAAGAAGACAGGGUUGGGGAAAGACAGGGUCUCUUCCAGGAUGCUGUAACUCUUGCACUUUUAUGAGAUUGGAAAGGGAUAAACUGAAGAUCGAUUCUUCUUAAACUUGCCUAAGUGACUCGUUAUUCCACCAACUUUUAAUGUCAUAACACUUGCUAGACUUGGCCAUUCUUACUCUGAUGGAAUACUUUACAAGUCAACUGCACCUUUAAUGCUGCAAUAUGGAAUUAGAAUUUUGUCCAAUUCAGAGAAUGUUUAAAGAAACUUUCUAAGUUUUUGGAAGUUCAAAGUUCAAAAUUUUUGAAAGUGACUCCACUGAAAUGUAUAAUAUUUGAUUGUAUACUGACAAGAACAUGGAUCUUAAUUCUUCAAAUAUUGGAGUAGCAUUCAAAAGUUUACCAGCUUACUUGUGUAUUAAAUAAAUAUAUACUUGCCUUCUACAGUGUACUUGAAGCUGCGGUAGCUUCCAGGAGAACAAUGAUGAAUGAGAGAUGGCCCCCACACCCUAGGAGCUUUCCCUCCAUUAAAAGUGAUGGCAAAGGAAAUAGCUAAACACAAUACAGUGGAAUGAACUCAUUGACAAGCUAGCUGUAUACAGAGAGCGCUACAUAGCAGGUGCACAUAGAGGGAAUAUCAGGGAAUCUCGGGGUGUUGUAGAGCACAGAGAAGAAAGAGUAUGUUGAUAAGGCUAAAGGCAGAAGUGGGAAGGGUGUGUGUGUGUGUGUGUGUGUGUGUUUGUGUGCAUGUCCUUACAUGUGUGCCUCUCUUUUUUGAAUUCUGAGAGUAGAGUAGGUGGUUUCAGGCACAGACAGCUACAUGUGCAGAGGCUUGGGAAUAAAAAAGAAAUGGCAAGUCACAGGAGCUUAAGGCAGAGAACAAUCAGAGAAAAGGUUAGAGAUGGAAGUUUAGGCCAGAUUAAGGAUUUAGAUUUUAUUGAUAGAGUAGAGGAGAGUUAUUGAAGGCUUUUUAAUUCAUAUUUAUUUAUUUAUUUGAAAGAGUUACAGGGAGAGAGGGAGAGACAGAGAGAGAGAGAGAGAGAAAUCUUUUAUUUGCUGGUUCACUCUCCAAAUGGCCACAACAGCUGGGGAUGAGCCAGGAUGAAGCCAUGAGCCUGAAAUGCCAUCCACAUCUCCACGCGGCUGGCAGAGGCCCAAGUACUUGGACCGACUUCUACCUCUUUCCCAGGUGCAUUAGCAGGGAGCUAGAUCAGAAGUGGAGCAGCGGAAGGUGGCUUAACCCAUUGUCCCACAAUGCUGGCCCCAAAAGCCUUUUAGUAAGGAAACAUUAUUAUUUUGGAAAUAUUAUUCUGGCUGUAGUGUAGGUGAAAGAGUGGAAGCAGCAAAGCUGGUGGCAGGAAGACAACCCUGAGACAGCUGCAGAAGCUCGGGUGAAAGAUCUAGAGGUCUGGGCGAGUAAUCACCAUGAAAAUAAAGAAGAAGGAGCUGUGACUCGAGCUUUUCUUGGCACUCUGAGUAUAGGCUGCAGCCUUCUAUUCUGUCAUUCAACACUAUCUAUACCUCGGUAGUUGCAUUUUUUGUUACCCGUCAUAAUUGUUAACUUGUAUGUCUAAUUCCCCACUGUACAGUAACUUCCAUGAAGUGAAUAAAUGUUUAUUUUCUUCUUGUGUCUACUUUGGCAGAAGUCUGCCUGAUAUGGAGUGGUUUCCUAAAUUUUUGUUAAAGGAGAAACUGGCAUCCCUUAUAUAAUUCACCCACUUCCCUAGUUAUAUCACUUGACAACUGUAAGGAACAUAUUUAAACCAGCUUUCUAUUUAAAGCACUUCAGAGUUACCAUUUGCACUUCCAGGCUUAUAACCUAAUCCUUUCAGUGAUUCUUUGAAUUGGUUUUGAAUCCUUCACCAUCCUCCUUCUAAUUCACCUCAUGAUACUAAACCCAAGGACUGUGUACUGCCAUUUGGGGAUCUUGAAAGAGAAAAGUCAAGCUCUAGAAGCUGGUGAGACUGAAGAAUCCAGCCAGUUAGUAUUAUACUAUUGACCAAUGUCACCUGCAGCCUCUUUUCCAAAGACCUAGCAAGAGAUGAAAGCAAAGUGAAAACCCCUCAAGGAAGUGAACAGUUUUUCCACACACUCAACUAGAACCUCCUCUGUGGGGAUGGGGAGACUGUGGAGUGUGGGGAGCAACUGGGAGCAACUCGGACUAGACUAAGUUACUGGAAUUAAGACUUAUUCUAUGCAUCUGCUCUCCCACAAUAUGGCGCUGGGAGAGGAGGAAACAGCUUCUACACAGCUGCCUCCAGUUCAACCAAUAAACAGCAGGACCUGCUCCUGAUUGGAGGAGAGCAGCAUACUCGGCGUGUGGGUAGUAGAGUUGGGAUUGGUGGAAGAGGACUAUAAAGGAGGAGAGAGACAACAUGCACCAGGAACAUCUAUCUGAAGGAACACCUGUGCAGCCCCCGAGAGAGCCAGCCGGCGGUGUGCCGCUUCCCCGCGGAAGUGGGGAAAGUGGCUAGGGGGAACCGCCCUUCCAUGGAGGUGGAAGGGAUGGUAGCCAACCCGGGAAGAACCAGCAGCAAACCCGGGGAGGGCCGAGCAGACAAAAGAACAGCGCAGGGUCCUGUGUCGUUCCUCCACGAAGAGGGGGAGUGACAUAAUGGUGCCGUGACUCGGAUAUGAAGCCUAGGCAGGGUUUAGUGUCGUUCCUCCAUGAAGAGGGGGAGCGACAGUGGAGGAAAUGUCCCUGCAGCAGAGGUGGACCCAGCCCUGCCAGCAGAGGAUGAAGAAGCACAAGCACUUGAAAUGAGAGCCCAAGAGUGUGUGCACUGCAGUCCGUCCUUUAGGCUGCCAAACACAAAAUUAUCAACUUCAUUCCCACUUACAAGGUACCCAACCAUCUCCUUCCCACAGAACUAAAAUAUUUAACAUUCCUGUUAUUUUUCUGUAGAUAUACAUGUAUAGGCACAUACUUUCUGGCAGCAGUAGGAGAGAGACAGCAAUAUUGAAGAAUAAAAGUUCCAUUGUUCUGCUGCUUCUAAAGUAAAUGACGGAAAUUAUAAGCUAAUUUGCAUAUGGGAGAUUAGCAGAGUAUCCCUUUAUU